GGGCCCUUCAUCACCCUACAUUCUUCAUAUUAGCAUUUUCUCACAGCCUCACUGCUGCAGUUCCAGCACUAGAGCUCUCCCACCUCAGCACAGAACUGCCAGGAUUUCUAUUUGCCCUGUCUUGCCUCCAUCUUUUAAGAGGCCAACCUCUAGCGAACUAUCUCACAGCACACCUGGCCAGUAACACAUCCCCAGAGUUCUGAAAAGCAACAACCAGAACCUUAAGAAGUUUGAAGCUUCUCUUGGAGCACAUAUCAUUUUGUAAGGGAAGGAGGAACUUUCUUUGGCAAUUCCAGAGUUUACUUUGGGAGACUCCAGUAACUGAUCAUUUACUGUGCUGCAUUACGCUGUAUUAGAGAAGGGAUGACCUCGCUUCUUACGCUUGGCCAGGGAGAAAUGGCUAGGAAGAAGUUGAAGUCUUUUUAAAAAAUCAUCUAACACAAAUAUUUCUAACUUGCUCUAUGGAGAUAAUAAAAAACAAUCAGCAACUGCUGGGUA
Long non-coding RNA from Columba livia (rock pigeon), 498 nucleotides. RefSeq lists it as uncharacterized. NCBI's taxonomy places the organism in Eukaryota, Metazoa, Chordata, Aves, Columbiformes, Columbidae. The record is from RefSeq and is a predicted model, not a curated record. The transcript has 3 exons.